RNAcentral lists this ribosomal RNA (468 nucleotides) under uncultured bacterium. RNAcentral's name for it is "partial 16S ribosomal RNA". It matches the Rfam family "Bacterial small subunit ribosomal RNA", at positions 28 to 507 of the family's 1533-position model. The record is from RNAcentral.
GACGAACGCUGGCGGCGUGCUUAACACAUGCAAGUCGAACGGAAAGGCCCUGCUUUUGUGGGUUGCUCGAUUGGGGAACGGGUGAGUAACACGUGAGUAACCUCCCCUUGACUUUGGGGUAACUUCAGGAAACUGGGGCUAAUACCGGAUAGGAUCUCCUGCUGCAUGGGGGGGGUUGGAAAUUUUCGGCGGUUGGGGAUGGACUCGCGGCUUAUCAGCUUGUUGGGGGGGUAGGGGCUUACCAAGGCUUUGACGGGUAGCCGGCCUGAGAGGGUGACCGGCCACAUUGGGACUGAGGUACGGCCCAGACUCCUACGGGAGGCAGCAGUGGGGAAUAUUGCACAAUGGGCGGAAGCCUGAUGCAGCAACGCCGCGUGCGGGAUGACGGCCUUCGGGUUGUAAACCGCUUUCGCCUGUGACGAAGCGUGAGUGACGGUAAUGGGUAAAGAAGCACCGGCUAACUACGUG